This 417-nucleotide ribosomal RNA is filed under the name uncultured bacterium. Its description in RNAcentral is "bacterial SSU rRNA". It matches the Rfam family "Bacterial small subunit ribosomal RNA", at positions 28 to 424 of the family's 1533-position model. The record is from RNAcentral.
GACGAACGCUGGCGGCGUGCUUAACACAUGCAAGUCGAACGAAGAGCGAUGGAAGCUUGCUUCUAUCAAUCUUAGUGGCGAACGGGUGAGUAACGCGUAAUCAACCUGCCCUUCAGAGGGGGACAACAGUUGGAAACGACUGCUAAUACCGCAUACGAUCUAAUCUCGGCAUCGAGGAUAGAUGAAAGGUGGCCUCUAUUUAUAAGCUAUCACUGAAGGAGGGGAUUGCGUCUGAUUAGCUAGUUGGAGGGGUAACGGCCCACCAAGGCGAUGAUCAGUAGCCGGUCUGAGAGGAUGAACGGCCACAUUGGGACUGAGACACGGCCCAGACUCCUACGGGAGGCAGCAGUGGGGAAUCUUCCGCAAUGGACGAAAGUCUGACGGAGCAACGCCGCGUGAGUGAUGACGGCCUCGGUU